UUAACAGGAUUAGAUACCCUGGUAGUCCACGCCGUAAACGAUGGGUGCUAGUUGUCAGGCAGCAUGCUGUUUGGUGACGCAGCUAACGCGUUAAGCACCCCGCCUGGGGACUACGGUCGCAAGACUAAAACUCAAAGGAAUUGACGGGGGCCCGCACAAGCGGUGGAGCAUGUGGUUUAAUUCGAGGCAACGCGAAGAACCUUACCAGCUUUUGACAUCCCGGUCGCGGUUACCAGAGAUGGUUUCCUUCAGUUCGGCUGGACCGGUGACAGGUGCUGCAUGGUUGUCGUCAGCUCGUGUCGUGAGAUGUUGGGUUAAGUCCCGCAACGAGCGCAACCCUCGCCUUUAGUUGCCAGCAUUUAGUUGGGCACUCUAGAGGGACUGCCGGUGAUAAGCCGGAGGAAGGUGGGGAUGACG
RNAcentral lists this ribosomal RNA (417 nucleotides) under uncultured bacterium. RNAcentral's name for it is "bacterial SSU rRNA". It matches the Rfam family "Bacterial small subunit ribosomal RNA", at positions 769 to 1184 of the family's 1533-position model. The record is from RNAcentral.